This 740-nucleotide ribosomal RNA is filed under the name uncultured bacterium. Its description in RNAcentral is "bacterial SSU rRNA". It matches the Rfam family "Bacterial small subunit ribosomal RNA", at positions 790 to 1530 of the family's 1533-position model. The record is from RNAcentral.
GUAGUCCUGGCUGUAAACGAUGUCGACUUGGAGGUUGUGCCCUUGAGGCGUGGCUUCCGGAGCUAACGCGUUAAGUCGACCGCCUGGGGAGUACGGCCGCAAGGUUAAAACUCAAAUGAAUUGACGGGGGCCCGCACAAGCGGUGGAGCAUGUGGUUUAAUUCGAUGCAACGCGAAGAACCUUACCUGGUCUUGACAUCCACAGAACUUUCCAGAGAUGGAUUGGUGCCUUCGGGAACUGUGAGACAGGUGCUGCAUGGCUGUCGUCAGCUCGUGUUGUGAAAUGUUGGGUUAAGUCCCGCAACGAGCGCAACCCUUAUCUUUUGUUGCCGGCGGUCCGGCCGGGAACUCAAAGGAGACUGCCAGUGAUAAACUGGAGGAAGGUGGGGAUGACGUCAAGUCAUCAUGGCCCUUACGACCAGGGCUACACACGUGCUACAAUGGCGCAUACAAAGAGAAGCGACCUCGCGAGAGCAAGCGGACCUCAUAAAGUGCGUCGUAGUCCGGAUUGGAGUCUGCAACUCGACUCCAUGAAGUCGGAAUCGCUAGUAAUCGUGGAUCAGAAUGCCACGGUGAAUACGUUCCCGGGCCUUGUACACACCGCCCGUCACACCAUGGGGGUGGGUUGCAAAAGAAGUAGGUAGCUUAACCUUCGGGAGGGCGCUUACCACUUUGUGAUUCAUGACUGGGGUGAAGUCGUAACAAGGUAACCGUAGGGGAACCUGCGGCUGGAUCACCUCC